UAGUCAUAUGCUUGUCUCAAAGAUUAAGCCAUGCAUGUCUAAGUAUAAGCAAUUUAUACAGUGAAACUGCGAAUGGCUCAUUAAAUCAGUUAUCGUUUAUUUGAUAGUUCCUUUACUACAUGGUAUAACUGUGGUAAUUCUAGAGCUAAUACAUGCUUAAAAUCUCGACCCUUUGGAAGAGAUGUAUUUAUUAGAUAAAAAAUCAAUGUCUUCGGACUCUUUGAUGAUUCAUAAUAACUUUUCGAAUCGCAUGGCCUUGUGCUGGCGAUGGUUCAUUCAAAUUUCUGCCCUAUCAACUUUCGAUGGUAGGAUAGUGGCCUACCAUGGUUUCAACGGGUAACGGGGAAUAAGGGUUCGAUUCCGGAGAGGGAGCCUGAGAAACGGCUACCACAUCCAAGGAAGGCAGCAGGCGCGCAAAUUACCCAAUCCUAAUUCAGGGAGGUAGUGACAAUAAAUAACGAUACAGGGCCCAUUCGGGUCUUGUAAUUGGAAUGAGAGCAAUGUAAAUACCUUAACGAGGAACAAUU
RNAcentral lists this ribosomal RNA (527 nucleotides) under uncultured eukaryote. RNAcentral's name for it is "SSU rRNA". It matches the Rfam family "Eukaryotic small subunit ribosomal RNA", at positions 21 to 549 of the family's 1831-position model. The record is from RNAcentral.